UACGGGAGGCAGCAGUGGGGAAUAUUGGACAAUGGGCGAAAGCCUGAUCCAGCCAUGCCGCAUGAGUGAAGAAGGCCUUCGGGUUGUAAAGCUCUUUUAGUGAGAAAGAUAAUGACGGUACUCACAGAAGAAGUCCUGGCUAACUCCGUGCCAGCAGCCGCGGUAAUACGGAGGGUGCGAGCGUUAAUCGGAAUUACUGGGCGUAAAGGGCACGCAGGCGGUUAAUUAAGUUGGAUGUGAAAUCCCCGGGCUUAACCUGGGAAUGGCAUUCAAGACUGGUUAGCUAGAGUCUUGUAGAGGGGGUAGAAUUCCAUGUGUAGCGGUGAAAUGCGUAGAGAUGUGGAGGAAUACCGGUGGCGAAGGCGGCCCCUGGACAAGACUGACGCUCAUGUGCGAAAGCGUGGGGAGCAAACAGGGAUUAGAUACC
RNAcentral lists this ribosomal RNA (427 nucleotides) under uncultured bacterium. Its description in RNAcentral is "bacterial SSU rRNA". It matches the Rfam family "Bacterial small subunit ribosomal RNA", at positions 340 to 786 of the family's 1533-position model. The record is from RNAcentral.